This 308-nucleotide long non-coding RNA is filed under the name Phoenix dactylifera (date palm). RNAcentral describes it as "long non-coding RNA (PDAC_LNC022611)". Lineage: Eukaryota; Viridiplantae; Streptophyta; Magnoliopsida; Arecales; Arecaceae. The record is from RNAcentral.
UGAAACCCUUUUAAGCCUAGAUCACCUUAAUGAUUACAAUCAAAUGAUAUAAAAUAAAUGCAGAAUUAGUAGAAUACCUCAAACGCUAAUCCAAAGUGUACAAUCUCCACGAGGCGUCCAAGUGUCCGCCCUCCAAUGGUGAUCCACAUGAAAACUUGAUCAAGACUUUAGCUCCAAAGACUUUUGAUCCUUAAUGCAGAAUUCUUCUAAAGAACUCUAAUGACUUGCUUUCCUUCCUUUCUAUUUUUCUUUAGCCUUCUAAAAUCACUUCUAAUCCUUUUGUCCUAAAGAAGACCACCUUGUCUUGG